GAUCUCUCGUCCAGUCACUGCGCACUUUCGUACGAUCCAAGACUCGAGACGGUGGAGAAUGGAAGGCAGGGGAUCAUUCAGCCCACGGUUCUCUCUCUAGAAGGCAACGAAGCGGUCGGAAGGCGGGGGAUUGUUGAGCCCGAUCUCUCGUCCAGUCACUGCGCACUUUCGUACGAUCCAAGACUCGAUGGAGAUGGUGGAGCGAGGCCGACCCGGGGACGAAAACGGGGUGUGGAGAACUCCGCUUGGAUUUCUGGGACGAGGUGGACAUGGAUGUUCCAGCUUUCACAAGACGAUGGCUUCAUGGUAGUUGUUCUGUGGAUUUUUAAUGCCGUUAACGUAAAUUGCAAAUUUCUCAUGAGUCCAGUAAAGAUAACCUUGUAUAACGUGUUUCUAUGAUAAACUUAGAUGUAUUGUUGAUAGUGGGGUCUAGAG
Molecule: long non-coding RNA, 435 nt
Organism: Patella vulgata (common limpet)
Lineage: Eukaryota; Metazoa; Mollusca; Gastropoda; Patellidae
Exons: 3
Source: RefSeq, a predicted model, not a curated record